GCAACUUCUAGUGAAAGAUCAUAAGGUACCAUUACUUUUCCAGAGUAAACAGGGUAAUUCCAAUAGAGUAAGUUCUGCACAGCGAGUUUUGACUAUAUCUACAAGCCCUCCAUCAUUAUCUACACCACAAGUAACAAUUGAAACUCUUCCAUUCACUCCCUUAAGCUCUGCUGUCACUAAAGAGAAUUCCAACACCAGAAACAUGCUGAGUAGUUGGCAGACUGCGGAGAUAUUCUCCCAUACUGCUGUUUGUCUGGUCUACUUCAUCUGCACCAUCGCCGC
Molecule: long non-coding RNA, 282 nt
Organism: Scleropages formosus (Asian bonytongue)
Lineage: Eukaryota; Metazoa; Chordata; Actinopteri; Osteoglossiformes; Osteoglossidae
Exons: 3
Source: RefSeq, a predicted model, not a curated record